AACGCGAAGAACCUUACCAGCUUUUGACAUGUCUUGGACGGAUACCAGAGAUGGUUUCCUCUCUUCGGAGCCGAGAACACAGGUGCUGCAUGGCUGUCGUCAGCUCGUGUCGUGAGAUGUUGGGUUAAGUCCCGCAACGAGCGCAACCCUCGCCCUUAGUUGCCAUCAUUAAGUUGGGCACUCUAGGGGGACUGCCGGUGAUAAGCCGGAGGAAGGUGGGGAUGACGUCAAGUCCUCAUGGCCCUUACAGGCUGGGCUACACACGUGCUACAAUGGCGGUGACAACGGGAUGCAAAGGGGCGACCCUUAGCAAAUCUCGAAAAGCCGUCUCAGUUCGGAUUGCACUCUGCAACUCGAGUGCAUGAAGUUGGAAUCGCUAGUAAUCGCGGAUCAGCACGCCGCGGUGAAUACGUUCCCGGGCCUUGUA
Molecule: ribosomal RNA, 427 nt
Filed under: uncultured Alphaproteobacteria bacterium
Lineage: Bacteria; Pseudomonadati; Pseudomonadota; Alphaproteobacteria
Description: bacterial SSU rRNA
Rfam family: Bacterial small subunit ribosomal RNA
Source: RNAcentral